CCCUUAGAUGUUCUGGGCUGCACACGUGCUACACUGGCAGGUUCAGCGAGCUUCAUGCCCUGAUCUGAAAGGAAUUGGAAAUCUUUUCAAAACCUGCCGUGCUUGGGAUAGAUGUUUGCAAUUAUUCAUCUUCAACGAGGAUUGCCUUGUAAGCGCACGUCAUCAGCGUGCAUUGAAUACGACCCUGUAUUCUGUACACACCGCCCGUCGCUCCUACCGAUUGAAGUUUUCGGUGAGUUGACAGGAGGAUUUUUUUGAAACUGGUUCGCCAGUGGAUUUUAGAUCCAAAUGCCAACGAAUCGAUGGCUUUAGAGGAAGGAGAAGUCGUAACA
Molecule: ribosomal RNA, 332 nt
Filed under: uncultured eukaryote
Lineage: Eukaryota
Description: partial 18S ribosomal RNA
Rfam family: Eukaryotic small subunit ribosomal RNA
Source: RNAcentral